This 497-nucleotide ribosomal RNA is filed under the name uncultured bacterium. RNAcentral describes it as "partial 16S ribosomal RNA". It matches the Rfam family "Bacterial small subunit ribosomal RNA", at positions 28 to 507 of the family's 1533-position model. The record is from RNAcentral.
GAUGAACGCUGGCGGCGUGCCUAAUACAUGCAAGUCGAGCGCACAGACGAGGUGCUUGUACCUCUGGCGUUAGCGGCGGACGGGUGAGUAACACGUGGAUAACCUACCUAUAAGCCUGGGACAACUUCGGGAAACCGAUGCUAAUACCGCAUAAUAUAUUUAACCACAUGUUUCAAUAGUGAAAGACGCAAUUGCUUUCCCCUAAAGAUAGACCGGCUCCUCAUUAGCUAGUUGGUAAGGUAACGCCUUCCAAAGGGAACGAUCCUAACCGAACCGGGAAGGGGGAUCGGCAAAACUGGAACGAGGACACGGUCCAGACUCCUAGGGAAGGCGCCGGUAGGGAAUCUUGCGCAAUGAGCGAAGGCCUGACGGAGCAAGGCGGCGUGAGUGAGGAAGGUCUUGGGACCGUAAAACCUGUUUAUAAGGGAAAAAGAAAGGGGUAGGGAACUAUGCACGACUUGACGGUACCUAAUCAGAAAGCCACGGCUAACUACGUG